AGAGUUUGAUCCUGGCUCAGAAUGAACGCUAGAGUUCUGCUUGACACAUGCGAGUCGAACGGUGAUAAAUUUAAUUUAUCAAAAGUGGCGCACGGGUGAAUAAUGCAUUUGUAACUUACCCAAUAAUUCGGAAUAUGCUGUGGAAACACGUGAGAAAUACCGAAUAAUAUAAACUUUUAUUAGUUUAUAAAAAGAUAAGUCGUUAUUGGAUAGGCAAGUGUUGCAUCAAGUUGUUGGUGAGGUAAUGGCUCACCAAGCUAAUGACGCAUAGCUGGUUUGGGAGAACGGCCAGCCACAUCGGAACUGAAACAAGGUCCGAGCUCCUACGGGGGGCAGCAGUGAGGAAUCUUGGGCAAUGAGCGAAAGCUUGACCCAGCGAGAAUUUGUGUGUGAGGAAGGCGUUGAGUUGUAAAGCACUUUCAGGCAGGAAGAUAAUGACUGUACUGCAGCAGAAGAAGUACUGGCUAAGUCUGUGCCAGCAGCCGCGGUAAUACAGACAGUGCGAGCGUUAUUCAGAUUUAAUGGGCGUAAAGGGUAUGUAGACGGUUCUAAAAACUAGAUAAAAAAUGCUAGAUUUAUAACUUUAGCAGAAUAUCUAAAGAUUAAAGAACUUUGAGUUAAUUAGAGGUUAGACGAAUUUGUUGUGUUAACAGUAAAAUGUUAUUAUAUAAUAAGGACGACCAAAGGUGAAGACAUCUUUCUGCGAUUAACUGACGUUGAGGUACGAAGGCAUGGGGAGCAAACAGGAUUAGAUACCCUAGUAGUCC
Molecule: ribosomal RNA, 767 nt
Filed under: uncultured bacterium
Lineage: Bacteria
Description: bacterial SSU rRNA
Rfam family: Bacterial small subunit ribosomal RNA
Source: RNAcentral